RNAcentral lists this unclassified non-coding RNA (345 nucleotides) under soil metagenome. Its description in RNAcentral is "partial contains 5.8S ribosomal RNA, internal transcribed spacer 2, and large subunit ribosomal RNA". The stretch from base 2 to 119 matches the Rfam family "5.8S ribosomal RNA", at positions 37 to 154 of the family's 154-position model. The record is from RNAcentral.
GUGAAGAACGUAGCGAAAUGCGAUACGUAAUGUGAAUUGCAGAAUUCAGUGAAUCAUCGAGUCUUUGAACGCACAUUGCGCCCCCUGGUAUUCCGGGGGGCAUGCCUGUCCGAGCGUCAUUGCUGCCCUCAAGCACGGCUUGUGUGUUGGGCCUCCGUCCUCCUCCCGGGGGACGGGCCCGAAAGGCAGCGGCGGCACCGCGUCCGGUCCUCGAGCGUAUGGGGCUUCGUCACCCGCUCUUGUAGGCCCGGCCGGCGCUUGCCGACACAUCAAUCUUUUUUCCAGGUUGACCUCGGAUCAGGUAGGGAUACCCGCUGAACUUAAGCAUAUCCAAUAAGCGGAGGA